Non-coding RNA from Phrynosoma platyrhinos (Desert horned lizard), 72 nucleotides. Lineage: Eukaryota; Metazoa; Chordata; Lepidosauria; Squamata; Phrynosomatidae. The record is from the annotation of a GenBank genome assembly.
AACCCUGUGUUAUAGUGGUUUCAGUGUUGGACUACAACUCUGGAGACCAGGGUUCAAUUCCCAGCUUGGCCA